Molecule: ribosomal RNA, 902 nt
Filed under: uncultured bacterium
Lineage: Bacteria
Description: bacterial SSU rRNA
Rfam family: Bacterial small subunit ribosomal RNA
Source: RNAcentral
AGAGUUUGAUCAUGGCUCAGAACGAACGCUGGCGGCGUGGCUAAGACAUGCAAGUCGAACGGACUGCUCAAUUUAUUGGUCAGUUAGUGGCGAAAGGGUUAGGAACGGAUGGGUAACGUACCCUGUGCUUUGGGAUAGCGUCAUCCCGACUUCGGUCGGGAUUUCCGAAAGGGGCGGUAAUACCAAAUAAUAUCAUUUGUCUAUAGGCGGAUGAUCAAAGAUUUAUCGGCAUAGGCGCGGCCUGUCUCCUAUCAGCUUGUUGGUGGGGUAAUGGCUCACCAAGGCAACGACGGGUGGCGGGACUGAGAGGUUGGCCCGCAACAUCGGGACUGAGACACUGCCCGGACCUCCACGGAGGGCUGCAGUAACGAAUAUUGUGCAAUGGGCGAAAGCCUGACACAGCGACGCCGCGUGUAGGAGGAAGUCCUUCGGGAUGUAAACUACUGUCAGGGGGAAGAAAGUGCGCUUCGGUGCAUUGAUCUAACCCAGAGGAAGUCACGGCUAACUUCGUGCCAGCAGCCGCGGUAAGACGAAGGUGGCAAGCGUUGUUCGGUAUCACUGGGCUUAAAGCGUGUGUAGGCGGAAAAGCAAGCGUUUCGUGAAAUCCCCCGGCUUAACCGGGGAACUGCGCAACGAACUGCUUUUCUUGAGGCAAGUAGGGGUGCAUGGAACUCUUGGUGGAGCGGUGGAAUGCGUAGAUAUCAAGAGGAACGCCAGUGGAGAAAUCGGUGCACUGGGCUUGUCCUGACGCUGAGACACGAAAGCGUGGGUAGCGAACGGGAUUAGAUACCCCGGUAGUCCACGCCGUAAACGAUGCCUACUAGGUUGUGAAAGUUCUGACACUGGCACAGCCGAAGCAAAAGUGUUAAGUAGGCCGCCUGGGGAGUACGGUCGCAAGGCUA